Molecule: ribosomal RNA, 735 nt
Filed under: bacterium IMCC8968
Lineage: Bacteria
Description: bacterial SSU rRNA
Rfam family: Bacterial small subunit ribosomal RNA
Source: RNAcentral
GAUGAACGCUAGCGGCAGGCUUAACACAUGCAAGUCGAGGGGUAACAUUAGUGCUUGCACUAGAUGACGACCGGCGCACGGGUGCGUAACGCGUAUAGAAUCUACCUUUUACAGGGGGAUAGCCUUUAGAAAUGAAGAUUAAUAUCCCAUAGUAUUGCGAAGUGGCAUCACUUUGUAAUUAAAGAUUUAUCGGUAAAAGAUGACUAUGCGUCCUAUUAGUUAGUUGGUAAGGUAACGGCUUACCAAGACUUCGAUAGGUAGGGGUCCUGAGAGGGAGAUCCCCCACACUGGUACUGAGACACGGACCAGACUCCUACGGGAGGCAGCAGUGAGGAAUAUUGGGCAAUGGAGGUAACUCUGACCCAGCCAUGCCGCGUGCAGGAAGACUGCCCUAUGGGUUGUAAACUGCUUUUAUACAGGAAGAAACACUGCUACGUGUAGCAGCUUGACGGUACUGUAAGAAUAAGGACCGGCUAACUCCGUGCCAGCAGCCGCGGUAAUACGGAGGGUCCGAGCGUUAUCCGGAAUCAUUGGGUUUAAAGGGUCCGCAGGCGGUCAAUUAAGUCAGAGGUGAAAUCCCAUAGCUUAACUAUGGAACUGCCUUUGAUACUGGUUGACUUGAGUCAUAUGGAAGUAGAUAGAAUGUGUAGUGUAGCGGUGAAAUGCAUAGAUAUUACACAGAAUACCGAUUGCGAAGGCAGUCUACUACGUAUGUACUGACGCUCAUGACGAAGA